Dermochelys coriacea (leatherback sea turtle) is the source of this 2417-nucleotide long non-coding RNA. RefSeq lists it as uncharacterized. The transcript is spliced from 2 exons. Lineage: Eukaryota; Metazoa; Chordata; Testudines; Dermochelyidae. The record is from RefSeq and is a predicted model, not a curated record.
GCUUUAGCUCUGGCAUCUGUUCAGAACUGUUAACUAUAGGCCCGGGAAGCCAUUUGUUUUCCCCCUUUGCAAUUUGUGUAAAUAGAGGAUUCAUUUUGGUUUCAGCCACAUGUGCCCAAUCCACUGCAUCUCAUGACUGAUUGCAUCUGAUCGGUAUACGAAAGAUGGAGAAGGAAAAUGGGCCCGAUUUUUAAAGGAAACUUUCAUCUCAGGGCCUUUUGCAAACAUUAAUUCUCAUGAUAUGUGCUUAUAACACUCGUAAACUAAAGCUGAGACUUGUCCAAGAGGUCCAUCAAUUGCACAGACAGUAAAAGAACACAGGAGUCCUGGUGCACAGUUCCAUGCUGUACCCACUAGACCAUAUUGUUCUGUGUACCAAAGCAUAAACAAUUUGUCAGAUUUGUUACCAAAGGAUGCACAAGGCCAGCAGCCAGGCUAAAGAACACAGUGUAUGUCUGUGUUCCCUUCUUGGGAUUUCAUAAUUUGGAGAUGUCUACACAUAGAAGAAAAACGUCCUUCCUGACCCCUGCAGUGACCAGUCUGCACCCAGUGCAGGGCUGGAAAGACCUUUGGCUGCCAGUAAUGGGCAAGCAUCUUAAGCUAACACAGGGGAUUAUACUAGAGCUAAUAGCAGAAGAAGGUAUUGUUGCUGAUGGACAAAUCCAUUGUCAUCGCUAUUGAAGUUUGCAGGUGACCUUUCUCAGUCCCACAAAGGGUCAAACUCAUGACUUUAUGUGGAACAACAGCUCCCAUUCAUGGGAAAUUAGCCUCCUGUAUCACAUGGCUUGCUCCAGACACAAACAUGACGUGACUUGUUUUGACGGCCGCACUCCUGCAGAUGAUAUGCUCCCAGACGGAUAGUGGUUGUGUCCUUUCUUGUCUACACAAGUUAGCCUCUCUGGCAUUUUCCUCUGACCUUUUAGGGAUCAGCUGUGGAAGGAGGGGGAUGUGUGUAUGUGAAGGCACCCAUCUGUCAUCACUGGCCUGCCCCACUUGGUGCUUAUGGAGCUGGAGACUUAGAGAGGAAAGAUCUAUGAGCCCUCUUCUCCCUCUCUGGGUCUUCUGGCACCCAUAGCAAUGGAUGGCACAUAAUCUUGGACCAACAAUUUUUGCUGGGUAAUUAGCUUUGAAACAACAAGCUCAUGGUCAGACACCGUGGACUCUGCACAGGUGAAUUCCCUGUUGGAAUUUUCUAGCUAACAACCAGUUUAAUUGGGUCUCAAGCAGGGAAGGAGAGGAACCUUUUUGACAUACCCUGGUCUCUUUCACUUAUUGCAGGGGGUGCUGGUAACUUUCCCCUACUGAAGGUAACACUGCCAACCAGUAGGGAAUCCGGUGAGCUGCAUCUAAUCUAUUGUUCCAAUGCUUAGAACCUUAGCUUAUUGUCUCCUGUUGGAAAGCAAAUAGACUUGUUUGAUUUUACACUGUCUUCAAUAAAAGGGACCCUGUUUUAUUCACAGUGCCAUUGGUUGUCUAUAUAAAAGAACAACCGUACUAGCUCAUUCAUGGAAAAAUAAAAGAAUCCAGAUCCUAUAAAUGGGAUUUAUUACCUAGGUUAGGGGUGUUAAUAAAAAGAUAUUUGACUUAAGAACAAUCUCAUCCAUUUCUCCUUCCCAGUCUCCUGUCCAAUACUUCCCAUGUCUAUUUAACUACUCUGUCCUCUCCUCAUCUUUGCAGAUAAUCACCAAAACUACCCCCCAAACCCUUAACUCAACUGUGGAGUUCCAACGGAAAUUUGCUAAGUUUCUGAGUCAUGUAGCCAAUGAUUUUAGUUUAUUGUUCAUUUAUUGUGUGAUGUUAUAAUUAACUAACAUGUUAUGUUAUAUAUAAUCAUUGUAUGCUAAAUAGAGUUAAAUUGAAGGAUUAUAGAAGUAUAAAACUGAUCAAUAGUUAGAAGGAUAAUCAUGUAUUAGGUAUCUAAGUGAAAGUGAGUAGGGUUGAAAUGCAAGGCCUGUAGGCUGAGGUCUACAAGAGUUUAGCUUAGCUAUUUUAGGCCUCGGAGCUAAGAAAUGCUGAGAUAAGUAAGUGACCAAAGAAUAAUCCAAUGCCCUAAGAUUACAUGAAAAGAUGUACCAAUGCGUCAUAUUACAAAAAAUUAACAGUAAGAGUAAGAUACCCAUUUUCUAACACAUGCCCUUGCAGGGUACACGAUGUGCAUAAAUGUUAAUGAGAUAUAGUCAGAAUUACAUUAUAAAAGGGGGUGCCCAGAGUGGGAAAAUUGAGCUCCCUAUGUGACACUCCAGCAGGAACCAUCCCUUUACUGAUGAUCAAUUCAUGAGAGACCCAUCAGACCCUAACACUAUUGUUAAGGAUGUGAGUAUAACUAUAUUUGCAACUUGUGCAUAGGUUUGUAUAGAAUUUCUAUAUGCUUGGGUAAUCAUAACUUUAAUUGUAAUUUUAAUAAAACUUGUAAAACA